GCAGUGGGCAUCGUUACCCGGCUCGCUGCUCACAUGCUGCUCUAGCUGCUCGUUGACUAAGAAGAACCGGUUUAAAUCGAACGAUUCGUUCGCGAACCGGUGUUACGAGAUUUUCGGUUUCUGAGAUAUUGGGUUUCAAUUCAAUUCAAUUCGGCCCACUGAAACCGAAAAUCUCGUAACACCGGACAUCACUAAAAGCCACUCCCCUUUAAGACAUCAUCAUCACCGCCACCACUGUCCUCAGCUCGCCGCCCCUGCUGCUCUAGUAAUUGAUGUUAUGGAGAAGAAAGCGAGCGAGGGAUUCACAGUUUAGCCAUACAUUCUCCCAACUAACAUCCUAAAGCAUGAUGGAAAUCCGAAACUCAGGAAUUUAACAUGAAGAGAAUAACGGGGAAGACUAAAGAAGCCACUUUGAUAGAAAUGUCCAACACGCUGGAUUCUCAGAUUGAAGGUAAUAAUGGCAGUAAUAACUCCAUCUCUGACCGAGGGACACAGCUGCCUGGUCAUCGGGAGGUAAGAUGUCAGAUAUUUUCAUCUCAUUUAGAUUAUCUUUUCAGUUUAUG
This 563-nucleotide long non-coding RNA is filed under the name Sinocyclocheilus grahami. Its description in RNAcentral is "lncRNA (ENSSGRG00000035173.1)". The record is from RNAcentral. Lineage: Eukaryota; Metazoa; Chordata; Actinopteri; Cypriniformes; Cyprinidae.